Molecule: long non-coding RNA, 4602 nt
Organism: Symphalangus syndactylus (siamang)
Lineage: Eukaryota; Metazoa; Chordata; Mammalia; Primates; Hylobatidae
Source: RefSeq, a predicted model, not a curated record
CCCCACUGGCCCCGGGCAGUGAGGAGCUUAGCACCUGGGCCAACAGCUGCUGCGCUCAAUCUGGCCCCGGGCAGUGAGGAACUUAGCACCUGGGCCAACAGCUGCUGUGCUCAAUUUCUCGCCGGGCCUUAGCUGCCUUCCCACGGGGCAGGGCUCGGGACCUGCAGCCCGCCAUGCCGAAGCCUCCCCCCCACCCUCCAUGGGCUCCUGUGCGGCCGGAGCCCAUGUGAAGAGCACUCAGUAUGAUGACCGGAGACACAGCUGUUGGAGGGAAAAAGUUUAUGUCAAUUAAAAUCCUGAAUUUCUCUGAUCUGGAAAGAAAAACUGCUAUGAACUCUUUAGAUGCCAACACAAGUGCUGAAGAGGAUGCUACAUGACAGAAAGAUGGAUUCGUAUGUGGAAAAGCCUUCUAAGGAUAAAGUCUACCAUAUACUUACUUUUGGAGGUAACAAGGGUUGGUGAGAUCUCAGUAGCGUCCUUCUCACCAGGUCAGUCUCUUAAACUUCAAGUGGAAAACAGAUGAGAUGAGGUGACUGUGCUGACUUUGAAAUAUGUGACCUAAUCCCAAUGUUAUUUUGUUGUUGCUGUUAUGUUUGUUUCAAAAAUAAUUACAAGGUAAUUGACCUCCAAUUUCUGUUACCCACAGAACCUCAGCUCUCACCUUACCCCCAGCUUUAAUGAGGCUUCUUGUUGGUCAAUUCCAAUAAGAACUCUCUAAGUCACCUGGGCUGCUCUGAGAUCCACCUUACAGUGACUCAGGAAUGUAGUCAAUACGAUGGUAGAAAGUGGCCCUGGCAAGGAAAGACUUUAAAACACAUAGAACAAAUUAGCCCAGAGGCUCUGCCGGCACUGCUACCCACAAGUGGCAAUGUGGUUACCUUUAGGAACCCCACAUUUGGUUCCAACUUCUUUCCCUUUGUAAGGGAUUAAUCAAGACAUGGCUUCCAGCACUUUCAUUGGUAUUAACAUCUGAAGUUGGGAAGUCAGGUUGGAGGACCUUACUGCCAUUAGAAAUGGGCUCCAGCCUUCUAGGAAUGCCUCUGUCUUUCGCCUACCUAAAGGAUCAGCAUUGGAGGAAACUUUCUUAAUUUGUAAUCACUCUCAGUGUAUUUAAACUCCCCAGGUAUAAACCCUAGCUUUACCAUUUGCUUGACUGUGGCCAAGUUAAUUAACCUCUUUGAGCUUCAUUUUCUUAAACAUGAGCUAUAUGGAGUCAUUAGAGUUCACUGAGUUUACCUAUGUGAGAUUCUGAACAUUAGUGCCUGGUACAUAAAUGCUCAGUUAAGUUGGCUAUCAAUAUUGAUAUCAUGGCUACUAAAAUAUUAUAAAGCCCUUUAAGCUUUUCUAAUCCGUGUGUUCACUGCCAGUAACCUCAUCCUGAACAAGUGCAAAUCUAAAUUGAUGGUGAUACUCAUCUCUUUCCCACCCAUUCCCAAUUCUAACUUCUGACUUCUGCUACCCUGACUACUCUUCCCACAACAUUUUCACCUGUCUCCUUACGUCUGUUACAUAACACCCAGCUCCAGCUUCACAAUCUGAACAUAAGUUGGUCUCAUGGGUCCACUCAUCCUCAGCCACCUUGGAUAAUAUCUCUCCUUUAUGCUACCCAGGGUUUCUUAGCUUUUCUAUUCCAGGAUCUCCUUUGACAGUGUGGCAAAGCCUAUGAAGCCAUUCUGAGAAUAUUUUAAAUGUAUAAAAAAAAAUCCAGGAAUUUUAAAGGAAAUAAAUUCUAUUGGAUUACUGUUAUGUAUAUUAAAAUAAAGGUAUGACAUAGUACUAUGUGUGUUUCUUUAACACAUUACAUUUUUAAAAAUCUAACAGUGAUUUAAUAAAUAUAAUUUUGAAGUUGUGAUGAAUGUAAAUAAUAUUUUGAGAUCUCUACAACAACUGUAACAGAAUAUAAAAUAUGUGAUAGCUAUUGAUUUUACAAGUACUGCAAAUGCAAUUCUGGUUUGUUGCGUACAUUCCAAAUUAAAGGGCAUGCUGAAUUUCAGUUGGAGGCUAGUGAAAACAAAGAUGGAAUUUUUUUUCAUCCGUGGUUACAAAUGACUGAAUUCCAGCCACAGAUUUCUUGGGAGACUCAUGGACCCAACAUUAACAUCUCCUGGUCUAGCCCAGCACCUGCCAGAGGCUCCUGCAGUGGCAUGUCUGAUAAACUCAUUCUAGAUGUCUGCAUGAACAGUCUGUCCCUGUGCCUGGGGGUUCCUCUCUUUGGGGUUAUUGUAACAUCUCUUCACUAUGGAUAGAAGUUUCCAUGUCUCAAAGCUCAGAUCAACCCCCGCUUCCUUGGGAAGCCUUACCAGACCACGGUUUCUACCAAGUUCUCUCACCUCCAAUGCCUCUGCCCUACCUUAGAAGAUUGCUAGUGGAGUCACAUGUGUGUGAGAUUUAUUGCUGUAUUAGUGACUGCUCAAGUGUUUGCCUUGCCUCACUGGUACAUUUGAGAAAUCUAAACAGUAGACGUCAAUUGAGUUUUCUUUAUCAUUUAAGCAAAAUCACUUUGCAUUUUACCAAGCUUAUGUGAUCUCAUUUGAUUCUAGUAACAAGACUUGGGGUAGGUAGAGCAGUACUAUUAUCUUUCUCUUACAUAUGGGGAAAAGACAAGUGACUUUCAAAAGGAAGGAGCUAGUAAUGGACAAUAUGGGAAUGGAAUUCCCUUCUGUGCUUCUGACUUUGCAUUUGCAUCCCCUCCAACAGCACAGACUUGGGCAAUAAUGGGGGGUUAGUGAAUGUCUGUGGUUGAUUCUUUUAAGUCUUCUCUUCAUCGUGAACCUCGUGAAUUGCAGUUGAAGAGAUCAGUGUAUGUGGGAAGAGGAGAAGUUGUUCAAGAAAUCACUAAUCUCAAAUAGGAGUCUUCAAAAUAAAUUAAUCUUCGGAGUUCUUCUCUCAUUGUCCAUGCAACUGUAGUUCUGAAAAUGUUGCAGAGCUGAGUCUGGGUGUCCAGUUAAGGACUGCCAAAAAUAAAAAGGCAAAGCAUGCUACCACUGACAAAGAAUCUGAGAACUGCUUCAUACAGUAUUCUCAUGUUACAGAGGAAGAAACAGAACCCAAGCAAAAGCAACGUAAAUUAACAAGUACACCGUGGUCAGUGGCAGAGCAGGAUGGGACCCAAGUCUUCAGAGACCCAAUGGAAUUUUCAGUUUGCUUAUUUGAGCAACUAGAUUACCUUCACAAAUCCUGUUCAUUUUGAAAGAGAUAAUCAACAGGGAUAUUCAUGGUUGCCUACUAUAUGCAAAGACUUUCCCAGACAUGCUUGAAAAUAAAAAAAGAUGUCUCAAAUUUGCUCCUUAUUAUGUUCCCUCUACAAAAAUAUCCACGUUAUAUAUUUUAAAUCUAAGGCUUGAUAAGGCUACAUGCAAGUGCUUAUGUCUCUAUUUCUGCAUAUGUAGAAAAACAUUUAUGCAUACUUGCUCAUAUAAAUAAUCAGAAAUGGCUACAUCACACAUAUAUACACAGAGAUCACUACAUUUACAUAUAAAGUGUUACAUAUUUAUGAAUAUAUUUGUGUGCAUGCAUACAUUUGAAUGAGCCUUGCUAUGUCUUUAUGUAGAAAGGUAAUCAGAGCUGUGCAUGCAUAAUGCAUGACAUGUAUGUAAUACACAAAUCAAAUAUACACAUAUGUAUACAGAGAUGCACGUGUUCAGAUGCAUGCAUAUAUACAGAGAUAUACAUAUAUGCAUAUGUAUAAAGAGCUAGAGUAAUAAAUGCACACAUUUCAAUAUAUAUUUAUAUGUUAAAUACACAGACAUGUGAACAUGCAUAUAUACAUGCUAUACUUAGACAAUAUGUGUGCAUAAAUCUACAUAGACAUAUACAUGAAUUACUUGAAAAUUCAGUACUGAUUCACUUGAUUUUUCUUCCUUGUAGUCUUGACAUCCUUCAUGCCACACCACUUUAUCAGUAAACCCUCCAGGAUGGAACUAUUUAUUGAAAUGCCAGUACUCACCCUCAUUUUUUAAACUACAUGCCCUGUUCAGUGCUGUCUGUUCUGGAAUGAAAGGCCAAUAUCCGAGUGUUCAGAAAGACCCGGGAGAUGGGACAAGGAGGAUGAAGCUGGGGCUGGAAGGCGACUCUGGGAACGGCUCAUAAAGAUGUCCCACAGAAUGGCUGAGGCUUUGUUUCCUGAAUAGGUGUCUCCAUUCGGCCUUGAUGGCUAACCAGCCAACUGAACAAGUGUAAAGGGCCCAAGAAAGGCCCGUAAAACCCGUGACAUUAAAGAACGAUUUAGGAAAAUAACAAGGUAAAAAUAUCAUUUUUAUUGCAUAAAUUACACGAGAAGUUGUGAAAUUAAAACCAUUUAUUUAUAAAAGUUAUUUCCUCAAAAAAAAAUAAUAUUAGGUAUAUCUCCUAAUGCUAUCCCUUCCCCCUCCCCACCCCACAACAGGCCCCGGUGUGUGAUGUUCCCCUUCCUGUGUCCAUGUGUUCUCACUGUUUAAUUCCCAUCUAUGAGUGAGAACAUGCGGUGUUAUACCUAAAGUUAAAUGACGAGUUAAUGGGUGUAGCACACCAACAUGGCACAUGUAUAUAUAUGUAACAAACCUGCACGUUGUGCACAUGUACCCUAAAACUUAAAGUAUAAUAAAAAUAAAUAAAUAAAUAAUA